RNAcentral lists this ribosomal RNA (495 nucleotides) under uncultured bacterium. RNAcentral describes it as "partial 16S ribosomal RNA". It matches the Rfam family "Bacterial small subunit ribosomal RNA", at positions 28 to 507 of the family's 1533-position model. The record is from RNAcentral.
GACGAACGCUGGCGGCGUGCUUAACACAUGCAAGUCGAACGGAAAGGCCCUGCUUUUGUGGGGUGCUCGAGUGGCGAACGGGUGAGUAACACGUGAGUAACCUGCCCUUGACUUUGGGAUAACUUCAGGAAACCGGAGCUAAUACCGGAUAAUAUAUUGAACCGCAUGGUUCAAUAGUGAAAGACGGUUUUGCUGUCACUUAUAGAUGGAUCCGCGCCGCAUUAGCUAGUUGGUAGGGUAACGGCUUACCAAGGCGACGAUGCGUAGCCGACCUGAGAGGGUGAUCGGCCACACUGGAACUGAGACACGGUCCAGACUCCUACGGGAGGCAGCAGUAGGGAAUCUUCCGCAAUGGGCGAAAGCCUGACGGAGCAACGCCGCGUGAGUGAUGAAGGUCUUCGGAUCGUAAAACUCUGUUAUUAGGGAAGAACAAAUGUGUAAGUAACUAUGCACGUCUUGACGGUACCUAAUCAGAAAGCCACGGCUAACUACGUG